RNAcentral lists this microRNA precursor (168 nucleotides) under Oryza meridionalis. RNAcentral describes it as "MIR812 microRNA precursor family". It matches the Rfam family "MIR812 microRNA precursor family", at positions 27 to 194 of the family's 205-position model. Lineage: Eukaryota; Viridiplantae; Streptophyta; Magnoliopsida; Poales; Poaceae. The record is from Rfam by way of RNAcentral.
UCCAACGUUUAACUGUCCGUUUUAUAUGAAUUUUUUAUAAUUAAUAUUUUCAUUAUCGUUAAAUAAUAAAACAUAAUUAAUAUUUUAUGUGUGAUUUAUCUUUUUAAUUUUUUUUUAUAUUUUUUUAAAUAAGACAGACGGUCAAAUAUUGGACACGGAAAUUUAGGG